RNAcentral lists this ribosomal RNA (1080 nucleotides) under fungal endophyte. RNAcentral's name for it is "eukaryotic LSU rRNA". The stretch from base 497 to 1080 matches the Rfam family "Eukaryotic large subunit ribosomal RNA", at positions 1 to 597 of the family's 3401-position model. The record is from RNAcentral. Lineage: Eukaryota; Fungi.
UUGCUGGACGCGCCCCGGGCGCACCCAGAAACCCUUUGUGAACUUAUACCUUACUGUUGCCUCGGCGUAUGCUGGCCCCCAGGGGUCCCUCUCGUCCCGGGAGGAGCAGGCACGCCGGCGGCCAAGUUAACUCUUGUUUUUACACUGAAACUCUGAGAAAAAAACAAAAUGAAUCAAAACUUUCAACAACGGAUCUCUUGGUUCUGGCAUCGAUGAAGAACGCAGCGAAAUGCGAUAAGUAAUGUGAAUUGCAGAAUUCAGUGAAUCAUCGAAUCUUUGAACGCACAUUGCGCCCUCCGGUAUUCCGGAGGGCAUGCCUGUUCGAGCGUCAUUUCAACCCUCAAGCCUGGCUUGGUGUUGGGGCACUGCUUCUACCCAGAAGCAGGCCCUCAAAUCUAGUGGCGAGCUCGCCAGGACCCCGAGCGUAGUAGUUAAACCCUCGCUCUGGAAGGCCCUGGCGGUGCCCUGCCGUUAAACCCCCAACUCUUUGAAAAUUUGACCUCGGAUCAGGUAGGAAUACCCGCUGAACUUAAGCAUAUCAAUAAGCGGAGGAAAAGAAACCAACAGGGAUUGCCCUAGUAACGGCGAGUGAAGCGGCAACAGCUCAAAUUUGAAAUCUGGCCUCGGCCCGAGUUGUAAUUUGCAGAGGAUGCUUCUGGCGCGGUGCCUUCCGAGUUCCCUGGAACGGGACGCCACAGAGGGUGAGAGCCCCGUAUGGUCGGACACCAAGCCUGUGUGAAGCUCCUUCGACGAGUCGAGUAGUUUGGGAAUGCUGCUCUAAAUGGGAGGUAAAUCUCUUCUAAAGCUAAAUACCGGCCAGAGACCGAUAGCGCACAAGUAGAGUGAUCGAAAGAUGAAAAGCACCUUGAAAAGGGGGUUAAAUAGUACGUGAAAUUGUUGAAAGGGAAGCACUUGUGACCAGACUUGGGCCGGGCGGCUCAUCAGGGGUUCUCCCCUGUGCACUCCGCCCGGCACAGGCCAGCAUCGGUUCUCGUGGGGGGAUAAGACCGUCGGGAACGUAGCACCCUCCGGGGUGUGUUAUAGCCCGGCGGACGAUACCCCCGUGGGGACCGAGGUCGC